Molecule: ribosomal RNA, 490 nt
Filed under: uncultured Tenacibaculum sp.
Lineage: Bacteria; Pseudomonadati; Bacteroidota; Flavobacteriia; Flavobacteriales; Flavobacteriaceae
Description: bacterial SSU rRNA
Rfam family: Bacterial small subunit ribosomal RNA
Source: RNAcentral
UUGGGUUUAAAGGGUCCGCAGGCGGUCAAUUAAGUCAGAGGUGAAAUCCCAUAGCUUAACUAUGGAACUGCCUUUGAUACUGGUUGACUUGAGUCAUAUGGAAGUAGAUAGAAUAAGUAGUGUAGCGGUGAAAUGCAUAGAUAUUACUUAGAAUACCGAUUGCGAAGGCAGUCUACUACGUGUAUACUGACGCUCAUGGACGAAAGCGUGGGGAGCAAACAGGAUUAGAUACCCUGGUAGUCCACGCCGUAAACGAUGGACACUAGUUGUUGGAAUUAUUCAGUGACUAAGCGAAAGUGAUAAGUGUCCCACCUGGGGAGUACGAUCGCAAGAUUGAAACUCAAAUGAAUUGACGGGGGCCCGCACAAGCGGUGGAGCAUGUGGUUUAAUUCGAUGCAACGCGAAGAACCUUACCUACUCUUGACAUACUAGAAACUUUUCAGAGAUGAAUUGGUGCCUUCGGGAAUCUAGAUACAGGUGCUGCAUGGCU